Malus domestica (apple) is the source of this 1670-nucleotide non-coding RNA. The record is from RefSeq and is a predicted model, not a curated record. NCBI's taxonomy places the organism in Eukaryota, Viridiplantae, Streptophyta, Magnoliopsida, Rosales, Rosaceae.
AAAAAAAAAAAAAACUCGAAAAAUUGUCGCUGUGAGAGUUUCGUUGGCUAUGAUUGAGUGCUCCUAUGGCGCCCUCCAAGCUCGCCAUUCCCUCGAUUUUUCUUGCCCUAAUUUUCUCCCAGAUUCGGGCUCAAGCUCCAGGACUUGGAUCAGGGUCAGCCGUAUUGCCCGACUCGUUCACUUCGGAUGGGGCGCCCUCCCCAGAUAAACUCAUUAAUUCGGUGGCUGGUGUAUCCAAUAUCGGUGAGAAGACUACGGAACACGAGAAGAAUACGCCGAGUAAAAAUGGAGUCUCUCCAGGUAAGGCAUAUUUGUUAACUACAUUGCAAAGAUAAAGGAUUUGUACAGAGGAGGAGAAAGAAGACAGAGAGAAGCAAGAGAGAUGCUAGAGAGAGAAUUUAGAGAGAGUAAUAGGAUUUGUAUUAACUAAAGAAUGAAGAUUACACACUUUGUUUUUAUACUAGUAAGCCUAACAACUCUAACCAAAUACUAACAAACUUUCUAACUAUAUUUCUAACUUGCACCCUUAAUAAUAUUUGCAUGGAAAUUCAGGGAUGUAGCUUCAAACAACUUUUACUAAAUUCACGUGACUCCUUACCAACCACAAAUUAUCAUGAAAAUUCAUUUCUCUGACUGAAAUUCAAAACCCAAUUCAUAAUACCUCUCAAAAUUCACAUAAACGUCUCAAAAUUCAUUUCUCAGAGCAAUUUGAAACUGAAAAUCGCUGAGGGGGAAGAAGAGACUGAUAGGUACUUUCGUCGAAACGACGAGAUUUACCACUCUGUGUGCGAUUCUUUCAAGGAAGGAUCCAUAAAUUAUGUGCUUUCUCAUAACUCAAUUUGAAUAACUCUCAAAUAACUCAAAAGAAAUCCUUGUUAGGUAUUAAAUUUAUUGAGUGGUCUCUAACCCUUUUUUGUCUGUCUUCUUUAGAAUCUAUUUUGAUUCUUUAAAUACGAUCUGGUUGUUGAGACAAUUGAAAACGGUAUGUCCUUAUUACAGGAUCUUUAUCUUUGCUUUGAAUUAUUGGAUUUAGACAUUACACGAUGCGACUUAGAAUCUUCCGCUACGGCCGGUGACUGUUUAGAUUGUGAGCUCGCCCAAUUGGAAAAAAACAAAUAUUUAUUUUGUAGUUUAUGAUGAAAUUAUAUAUAUUUUAAGUAUAAAUAAACAUUUAUUUACCUGAAAUAUAAUAAAUUUAGUUAAAUUCACUAAGUCCGCUUAGACACUAGGUUCUACUUGGCCAUUCUAUUAGCGAUUAGCGUCUUUUAGAAUUUCAGAAAUAAAAAUCCGCGGGAAAAUAAAUUGAGGUUACGCGUCGCUAGGUGAUUGGGGAGUGCAGUGUGCGGGUGAGGUUAGCGUGGUCGAAAUCCAAUUAAUCGGGAGUCGCGCUCAAUAAUAGGACAUUAUCCGCCGGGGUUGGUGUUGAAUUUUCAAUUGGUCCUACUCAACUCGGAAUACGGCUGACACACUAUACAAUAUCAUUAAAUAUAAGUUGGGUUUUUUUUAAUUAUAAAUGAUUUUUUAAAUGGGGCUUUUAGAUUCGGUUCAAAAACACAGAGUGUUUUUAGGAGUGACUCCAGUUAUCUAAUUAUAUGUUUUUAUUUCUUUUAUACUCCUUUUAUAUUUUCUAAAAAUAUUAAAAAUCAAUUAAAAUCUUUUAAUAUUAUGCA